CUCGUGCUGUGGAGGAGUUUCCAGAAGUUCGGUAGUGUACAGUCGGUUGGCGCGCGCAGGAGUCAGGAGUGUGUGUGUGUGUGUGUGUGUGUGUGUCGCGGGGCCGGCGAUCGCUACCGCGGUCUGGAGCUCGGCGAGGAGGGGGCGCGGCCGGUGGCGGGGCAGUGGCCGCCGACCUCCAGCCGGGACAAGUAUUAGACCCACCUCCACCGCCUCGCCAAGCGCAUGAUGCCGUAGAGCCGGUUGGAGUAGUCGAUGGAGUGGCCGGGCGAGCCCCUCUCGUGCCGGCGGCGGCGGCGCCGGCAGUUGCGCACCAGCCCGCGGCGCAGCUACGACGGCGACGAGCCGCGGCGGCAGCGGCUGAGCACCGAGCCGGCCAUGGUGUGGUAGCAGCGGAGGAGGCACGAGAUGUAGUGCCCCGAGCCCUACGACCGCGAGAGCAGGUACAAGAGGAGUGGCUCGCUUGUUACGUUUGAGUGGCGCCUGCCAGCCGUUCGUACGGGCGCGAGGAGGGACGUCUGCCGGAAGAAGAUGCAGAGCGAGAUGGACCACCGGUAACGCGUCUCGCCGGUGUUCGGGACGCACGUCCGGAAGCCGCGGCUGGUCAAGCUACGCUGCCUGGGGCGCCUCAGCGACCGGGCCCCGAGGAAGAAGUUGACCACCAUGAAGCCCUAGACGCCGUCGCGCUGCCAGUGGUAGCGCGAGUACUCGAUGCAGGUCCUGUUGCAGUCGACCCCGUAACCGAAGCCCCACGGCACGCAUCAGUACCACGACCGCGAGCGGCAGAAGAACGAACCGUGGUUCUGCAUGGCCAAGAUGCUGUUGAGUCCGCUGCCGUUCCCGCGGCCGCACAAGAGGGCACAGCACCUCCGGAAGUCCCGUAGUUCUUUCUCCAGCGGUCUUCCACCUCUCGUGCCGGUACCGCUGCCGCACCUCUUACGACGGUAGCACCUCCUCCACUCCCCGAACCGCUCCGACAAGGGCUAUACCCGCUGCACGGACGAAAUGCCGCACCACAAGCGAGUCGGCGGCUGCGACAAGUGCUUCGUCCGCCGCUGCUACCUGGCCUCCCAGCCCAGCAGCCCCAAGGUCUAUGGCGGGCGCCGCGACGUCACGAAGUACCCGUAGUCGUACUAGUGGACGCAGCGCGACAUGCUGGCGCAGGACCACGGGCACCGCGCGUCCCAGAGGCCGCGGGGGAACCCAUAGUGGUACGAGGUCGCCUAGCCGUGCCCGUACCAGGACCGGCACCGGCGCGACCACCAGCGGCGCGACCACCUCUACUCCGCCGACUCGUGGCGCCACCUGCGGCCGAACCACCUGGACGGGCUGCGCCACCACGGGUACUCGGACACCACCUAGUACGGCGUCAUGCACGAGGACCCGCGCCGCCUACACAAGUGGUACCAGCCGUACGUCCUCAAGAAGAUGCUGGUCUACGGGCCGCGCGAGUUCUCGGAGCCCGAGCGCGAGAUGGAGUCGCAGGAGCCGCAGCCGUCGAAGUAGUCGUCGAAGGAGUAGAGCCGGUAGCUGCCGCGCUGCUCCUCCCCGCCUCCCUGCUCGACCUAGCGGCUGUUGGAGUUGGCCCCAGUAGAGCUGAUGAAGAUACACGAGUAGCGACGCGAGUGGCGCGACCUCGAAGAACGAAAGGAAAUGAAGAGUCCAAGAAUGCAAAUGUUUUCUUUCCGACAGUCACAAGUAACUGUGUAACCGGCUGCUUAAUACACACCAUUCAACAUACGACCGUUAAGGUGACAAGUACACGACUAAGACGGCCGUCGUUACAAAGCCAAAAUGAAAAUGAAAAAUGAUAACGAUACUCGAAUAAUAUGCCCUCGUGUCUGUGUGAACUUGUGCCGUAACGAGGGGAAGAAGUCUCAAGCCUGAUCGGUCAGACUCUUGUACCCGCGUAUCGCUAUUGACGUUCAUGGCUUCGCAUAUUUUUUGAACUCACUUGUUCUAUCUAAGU
Molecule: ribosomal RNA, 1969 nt
Filed under: Triticum aestivum (bread wheat)
Lineage: Eukaryota; Viridiplantae; Streptophyta; Magnoliopsida; Poales; Poaceae
Description: partial small subunit ribosomal RNA
Source: RNAcentral